RNAcentral lists this ribosomal RNA (487 nucleotides) under uncultured bacterium. RNAcentral describes it as "partial 16S ribosomal RNA". It matches the Rfam family "Bacterial small subunit ribosomal RNA", at positions 28 to 507 of the family's 1533-position model. The record is from RNAcentral.
GAUGAACGCUAGCGAUAGGCUUAACACAUGCAAGUCGAGGGGCAGCACAAGGUAGCUUGCUAUCUGGGUGGCGACCGGCGCACGGGUGCGUAACGCGUAUGCAACUUGCCCUAUACAGGAGGAUAACCCGUCGAAAGACGGACUAAUACUGCGUAUGCUCACAACUUGGCAUCAAGUGGUGAGGAAAGAAAUUCGGUAUAGGAUAGGCAUGCGUCCCAUUAGCUUGUUGGUGAGGUAACGGCUCACCAAGGCAACGAUGGGUAGGGGAACUGAGAGGUUUAUCCCCCACACUGGUACUGAGACACGGACCAGACUCCUACGGGAGGCAGCAGUGAGGAAUAUUGGUCAAUGGGCGCGAGCCUGAACCAGCCAAGUCGCGUGAAGGAUGACUGUCUUAUGGAUUGUAAACUUCUUUUAUACGGGAAUAACAAGAGACACGUGUGACUCCCUGCAUGUACCGUAUGAAUAAGCAUCGGCUAACUCCGUG